AUGCACUUUAUGUCCAGAGAUCCUAAACAAAAUAUUUACGAGUAUAUGUUUCUCAUAAGGAGAAGCUAGCACACAAAUACCAAACAAAAAUCCAAGAUAAAAUAUUUCAAGAAAUCAAUUACCAAAAAGCAGAAAAUUCAGGCUGCUCCGCUCAACGUGUUUUCCAGAGCCAUGCACAAGCUACAGAAGAAAAAUAGAAGAAAAAAAGUGGAAAAUAUAGAAAAAUAGUGCAGAAAAAAAACACUUAAAUUUACAUUAUUUCCAGUCCACAACACUGACGUUGCCCCUUUGAAAUUGAGUCAGCCAGGUGAAAGUUUCAGCCAUAUUCCUCAUAUUUAUUAGCUUAAAGGAGCAGCUGGCGAAACUAAAGCUAUAAUUGUUUCAAAUGGAAAUCUAUUUUCAUGGACCGCUGGCCCGACAGAGAGAGAAUGGUGUCAAGUGCAGCAGGCAGCCGGGUAAAAACUAAAGUGGUCCAGACCACGCCUCCGUGAGCAGUCAACAGUUAAAAAGGGACAACGCCAGGAUAACAACAUUUGUAUGCAAAUGGCGAGAGCCGGAGUUACUUUGCCAAUGUCAAACGGAGAACGAAGAAUAUGUACGUGCCCAUGGCUCGGCAAAUGAACUUGUUUGGUAGCUAAUGAGAUAAGCAUGCAAAUGCCAGUGGCAGGACGAAAAAAAAGGGUAAGAAAAAUAGAAGCCCAGAAUAAAGUCAAGUUCUGUCAGUGGCAGCGGUAGGACGAGUCAAUUAACUGGCAUUUCCGCGGCUACUUGUUGGGCGACACAAGAAAAGUAAAAAGGGCCAGCCAGGAAAGGAAAAGGAUAUGUGUGCUACCAACACAAUGGAGCUAACAAUUUUGAAGCUCUUUGUUAUUUUGGGCAAAUCUGGCAGAACACAGAGAAAUAAGCUCGAAAAAAAAGAAAUUGGCAGAAUAAAAUGCAUGAGAAUUUUAUAUGCAAUCCAUUUUAAAUGGCAGGAAGUGCAAGAAAUGCUCAAAUAAUUGCAGCAACGAAUGCCCAUUUUUGUAACAAAAGAACUCAAGGACGAGUCCUUUUUUGCGAAUCCUUUCCGUAUGCGAAUGUCUGCGUGCAAAUUGAAUGUGCAAAUAUUAACAUUCAAGACGAUGUGCCAGGCACACUUGUGGCUUUUUUGCCAUCAUGUCCUUGCUGCCACUCAAUCAGCAGGACUCGUGCGCCUGAACAGGACCAAGACUGAUGCGAACAGGACAACAGCUGUUGACAAGGACGAGUCCUAGAGCAUGGAGCAUGGCACAUGUGUGUAUUAGUUGUGCCUGGUUCUGCUUUCUGGGCAAAACUUUAAUUAAAUUGUAUAUGUUUUUUGGCCUGGACAAAGGCAAAUUCCAUUUACCUUUCAUAUUUCUUGUGACCCCUUCAGGGGUGUGCAUAAAUUUAUUAAAGUGAUUUUCUCUCGCAAAAUAAAG
This is a long non-coding RNA of Drosophila teissieri, 1439 nucleotides long. RefSeq lists it as uncharacterized. The record is from RefSeq and is a predicted model, not a curated record. The transcript is spliced from 3 exons. NCBI's taxonomy places the organism in Eukaryota, Metazoa, Arthropoda, Insecta, Diptera, Drosophilidae.